Molecule: non-coding RNA, 22 nt
Filed under: Rattus norvegicus (Norway rat)
Lineage: Eukaryota; Metazoa; Chordata; Mammalia; Rodentia; Muridae
Source: RNAcentral
AUGUUGGUGGAAAGAUUAGGAA